This 478-nucleotide ribosomal RNA is filed under the name uncultured Sphingobacteriales bacterium. RNAcentral describes it as "bacterial SSU rRNA". It matches the Rfam family "Bacterial small subunit ribosomal RNA", at positions 900 to 1382 of the family's 1533-position model. Lineage: Bacteria; Pseudomonadati; Bacteroidota; Sphingobacteriia; Sphingobacteriales. The record is from RNAcentral.
CUCAAAGGAAUUGACGGGGCCCGCACAAGCGGUGGAGCAUGUGGUUAAUUCGAUGAUACGCGAGGAACCUUACCUGGGCUCGAACGUAAGAUGACUGUAGGUGAAAGCUUACAUCUCUUCGGACAAUAUACAAGGUGCUGCAUGGUUGUCGUCAGCUCGUGCCGUGAGGUGUCGGGUUAAGUCCCAUAACGAGCGCAACCCCUAUCAUUAAUUGCCAUCAGGUCAAGCUGGGGACUCUAAUGAAACUGCCUACGCAAGUAGUGAGGAAGGUGGGGAUGACGUCAAAUCAGCACGGCCCUUACGUCCAGGGCUACACACGUGUUACAAUGGCCGGUACAAAGGGCAGCUACCUGGUGACAGGAUGCUAAUCUCAAAAGCCGGUCUCAGUUCGGAUCGGAGUCUGCAACCCGACUCCGUGAAGCUGGAAUCGCUAGUAAUCGUGAAUCAGAAUGUCACGGUGAAUACGUUCCCGGGCCUU